CAUAAAACUAUAGCUAUGAAUUAAUUACACAAAAUCAUAUUUAUACUAAAACAUAUUAUAUUAUAUGUACGCUAUGUAGAUCUACUCAUGUGGAGUACAAUAAAAUUAGUUUUUUUAUUUUAUGAUUUUCUAUAAUUUACUGUAAUUUUUCAAAGAUUCACCUAAAAUAAAUAAACAAGAUAAAGAUAAAACCACCUCUGAAAAUUGUCUAUAACUGACUAGGGAGGUAAAACAAACGGUUUUAAAAGUUUAAGAAAGUGGUUUUUACGGUUUUAGAGUUCGAGGAAAAACAAAAUUUUGUAAAAGUUGAGGAAGGUAAUGUUGGUCUUUUUUUUUCUUUUUAUUAUCCAUGGAACUUGUGACGAGUAACGGCUUAUGACGAUUCGUUUCUGGGCCACAUCUUUACCGAGCUUUUGUAUUGCACAAUGGAACCCCUCCGGCUGAGGCCUGCGGCUUGCACAGGACACAAUAUAUCCAGCACUAUCGGCCCACGGGCUGUAGAACGAGGAGUGUUAGAAAUAUAAUUAGUUGAUCAAUUAGCAGAUAAUUAUAUAUCAUUAAACAGAUCUAAGUGCUAUGAGGGCACAUGCUAACUAGACAGUGUUUGGUUGUAGAGAUUUAAAAGUAAUAGGUGACACAUCGAAUGUCACAUGGGGUGGUCUAUAGGAUAUUUGUAUACUUAAUAAAAAAACAAAUGUAUUCAUUAAGCCUAAUUAAUUCAUCAUUACCAUAUGUGUUAUUACUUAUUAGUGUUUAUGUGGCAGAACCUCCUGAAUUAAGUGGCCCACAUGCACACAUCAUUGUCCCAAAGACUUCUGAUCUACGUGCACGAGUUCCAAAUGACUCAAGAAGUCUGUCGGGUGUCCUCGGGAAACCCGAAUCAUCCACGUUACAUUCUUUCCAGGAAUUCCCUCAUCAAGCAUUAC
This 926-nucleotide long non-coding RNA is filed under the name Sorghum bicolor (sorghum). RNAcentral's name for it is "long non-coding RNA (SBIC_LNC005786)". The record is from RNAcentral. Lineage: Eukaryota; Viridiplantae; Streptophyta; Magnoliopsida; Poales; Poaceae.